GGGUAACCUGCCUUAUACGAGGGGGAUAACAGGUUGGAAACGACUGCUAAUACCGCAUAAGCGCACGGUAUCGCAUGAUACAGUGUAGAAAACUCCGGUGGUAUAAGAUGGACCCGCGUCUGAUUAGCUUGUUGGUGGUGUAAUGGACUACCAAGGCGACGAUCAGUAGCUGGUUUGAGAGGAUGAUCAGCCACAAUGGGACUGAGACACGGCCCAUACUCCUACGGGGAGGCAGCAGGUGGGGAAUAUUGCACAAUGGGGGAAACCCUGAUGCAGCGACGCCGCGUGAGCGAAGAAGUAUUUCGGUAUGUAAAGCUCUAUCAGCAGGGAAGAAAAUGACGGUACCUGACUAAGAAGCCCCGGCUAACUGCGUG
This 374-nucleotide ribosomal RNA is filed under the name uncultured bacterium. Its description in RNAcentral is "bacterial SSU rRNA". It matches the Rfam family "Bacterial small subunit ribosomal RNA", at positions 119 to 507 of the family's 1533-position model. The record is from RNAcentral.